RNAcentral lists this ribosomal RNA (516 nucleotides) under Simulium konoi. Its description in RNAcentral is "partial 16S ribosomal RNA". It matches the Rfam family "Bacterial large subunit ribosomal RNA", at positions 1819 to 2601 of the family's 2925-position model. Lineage: Eukaryota; Metazoa; Arthropoda; Insecta; Diptera; Simuliidae. The record is from RNAcentral.
GUCUUUUUGGUAUUUAAUAUAAAGUCUGACCUGCCCACUGAAUAUAGUUUAAAGGGCCGCAGUAUUUUGACUGUGCAAAGGUAGCAUAAUCAUUAGUCUUUUAAUUGAAGGCUGGUAUGAAUGGUUGGAUGAGAUACAAGCUGUGUCAUAAAAAUUAACAUUUGAAUUUAACUUUUUAGUCAAAAGGCUAAAAUUUAAUUAAAAGACGAGAAGACCCUAUAGAGCUUUAUAUACUUAUUAUUUAAAUUAUUUAGAUUUUUUAAGUUUAAUUAUUUUAGUAUAUUUUGUUGGGGUGACAAUAAAAUUUAUAAAACUUUUAUUUUUAUUUAACAUUAAUUUAUGAAUAAAUGAUCCAGUUUUAUUGAUUAUAAAUUUAAGUUACCUUAGGGAUAACAGCGUAAUUUUUUUUGAGAGUUCUUAUCGACAAAAAAGAUUGCGACCUCGAUGUUGGAUUAAGAGUAAUUUUGGGUGUAGAAGUUCAAAGUUUAAGUCUGUUCGACUUUUAAAUUCUUACAU